GGGGGCAGUCUGAAAGGCUUGAGAAGUACCCUUUGAACCUGAACUGGUUAAUACCAGCGGAGGGAAGUGGAUAAAUUUA
This 79-nucleotide non-coding RNA is filed under the name Candidatus Salinicoccus merdavium. Its description in RNAcentral is "TPP riboswitch (THI element)". It matches the Rfam family "TPP riboswitch aptamer (THI element)", at positions 11 to 102 of the family's 105-position model. From Rfam's summary of the family: Vitamin B(1) in its active form thiamin pyrophosphate (TPP) is an essential coenzyme that is synthesised by coupling of pyrimidine and thiazole moieties in bacteria. The previously detected thiamin-regulatory element, thi box was extended, resulting in a new, highly conserved RNA secondary structure, the THI element, which is widely distributed in eubacteria and also occurs in some archaea. Analysis of operon structures identified a large number of new candidate thiamin-regulated genes, mostly transporters, in various prokaryotic organisms. Lineage: Bacteria; Bacillati; Bacillota; Bacilli; Caryophanales; Staphylococcaceae. The record is from RNAcentral.